This is a long non-coding RNA of Oncorhynchus keta (chum salmon), 143 nucleotides long. RefSeq lists it as uncharacterized. The record is from RefSeq and is a predicted model, not a curated record. The transcript is spliced from 2 exons. Lineage: Eukaryota; Metazoa; Chordata; Actinopteri; Salmoniformes; Salmonidae.
AAUGGACACACUGUUUUAUAUUGGAUGGAUGAGGUCUGGUUAAAAUGGACACACUGUUUUAUAUUGGAUGGAUGAGGGCUGGUUAAAAUGGACACACUGUUUUAUAUUGGAUGGAUGAGGGCUGGUUAAAAUGGACACACUGU